Molecule: ribosomal RNA, 253 nt
Filed under: uncultured bacterium
Lineage: Bacteria
Description: partial 16S ribosomal RNA
Rfam family: Bacterial small subunit ribosomal RNA
Source: RNAcentral
UACGGAGGAUGCAAGCGUUAUCCGGAAUGAUUGGGCGUAAAGCGUCCGCAGGUGGCAAUGUAAGUCUGCUGUCAAAGCGUCUGGCUCAACCAGAUAAAGGCAGUGGAAACUACAUAGCUAGAGUAAGGUAGGGGUAGAGGGAAUUCCUGGUGUAGCGGUGAAAUGCGCAGAGAUCAGGAAGAACACCGGUGGCGAAAGCGCUCUGCUGGACCUAAACUGACACUGAGGGACGAAAGCUAGGGGAGCGAAUGGG